Molecule: ribosomal RNA, 373 nt
Filed under: uncultured Eubacteriaceae bacterium
Lineage: Bacteria; Bacillati; Bacillota; Clostridia; Eubacteriales; Eubacteriaceae
Description: bacterial SSU rRNA
Rfam family: Bacterial small subunit ribosomal RNA
Source: RNAcentral
UACGUAGGGGGCAAGCGUUAUCCGGAAUUACUGGGCGUAAAGGGUGCGUAGGCGGCUAGUUAAGUCGAGGUUAAAAGGCAGUAGCUCAACUACUGUUGGGCCUUGAAACUAAUUAGCUUGAGUAUAGGAGAGGAAAGUGGAAUUCCCGGUGUAGCGGUGAAAUGCGUAGAUAUCGGGAGGAAUACCGGUGGCGAAGGCGACUUUCUGGACUAUAACUGACGCUGAGGCACGAAAGCGUGGGUAGCAAACAGGAUUAGAUACCCUGGUAGUCCACGCCGUAAACGAUGAACACUAGGUGUCGGGAGGAAUUUCGGUGCCGGCGCAAACGCAAUAAGUGUUCCGCCUGGGGAGUACGUUCGCAAGAAUAAAACUC